AUUAGCCAUGCAUGUCUAAGUAUAAGCAAUUUAUACAGUGAAACUGCGAAUGGCUCAUUAAAUCAGUUAUCGUUUAUUUGAUAGUACCUUACUACUUGGAUAACCGUGGUAAUUCUAGAGCUAAUACAUGCUUAAAAUCCCGACUGUUUGGAAGGGAUGUAUUUAUUAGAUAAAAAAUCAAUGUCUUCGGACUCUUUGAUGAUUCAUAAUAACUUUUCGAAUCGCAUGGCCUUGUGCUGGCGAUGGUUCAUUCAAAUUUCUGCCCUAUCAACUUUCGAUGGUAGGAUAGUGGCCUACCAUGGUUUCAACGGGUAACGGGGAAUAAGGGUUCGAUUCCGGAGAGGGAGCCUGAGAAACGGCUACCACAUCCAAGGAAGGCAGCAGGCGCGCAAAUUACCCAAUCCCGACACGGGGAGGUAGUGACAAUAAAUAACGAUACAGGGCCCUUUCGGGUCUUGUAAUUGGAAUGAGUACAAUGUAAAUACCUUAACGAGGAACAAUUGGAGGGCAAGUCUGGUGCCAGCAGCCGCGGUAAUUCCAGCUCCAAAAGCGUAUAUUAAAGUUGUUGCAGUUAAAAAGCUCGUAGUUGAACCUUGGGCUUGGUUGGCCGGUCCAUCUUUCUGAUGCGUACUGGACCCAACCGAGCCUUUCCUUCUGGCUAGCCUUUUGGCGAACCAGGACUUUUACUUUGAAAAAAUUAGAGUGUUCAAAGCAGGCCUUUGCUCGAAUAUAUUAGCAUGGAAUAAUAGAAUAGGACGUUAUGGUUCUAUUUUGUUGGUUUCUAGGACCAUCGUAAUGAUCAAUAGGGACGGUCGGGGGUAUCAGUAUUCAGUUGUCAGAGGUGAAAUUCUUGGAUUUACUGAAGACUAACUACUGCGAAAGCAUUUACCAAGGACGUUUUCAUUAAUCAAGAACGAAAGUUAGGGGAUCGAAGGAUGAUCAGAUACCGUCGUAGUCUUAACCAUAAACUAUGCCGACUAGGGAUCGGGUUGUUGUUCUUUUUAUUGACGCAAUCGGCACCUUACGGAGAAAUCAAAGUCUUUGGGGUUCUGGGGGAGUUAUGUCGCAGCUGAAACUUAAGGAUUGACGAAGGGCACCCACCAAGAGUGGAGCCUUGCGGCUUAAUUUGAC
Molecule: ribosomal RNA, 1131 nt
Filed under: Candida tropicalis
Lineage: Eukaryota; Fungi; Ascomycota; Pichiomycetes; Serinales; Debaryomycetaceae
Description: SSU rRNA
Rfam family: Eukaryotic small subunit ribosomal RNA
Source: RNAcentral